RNAcentral lists this ribosomal RNA (301 nucleotides) under uncultured bacterium. Its description in RNAcentral is "partial 16S ribosomal RNA". It matches the Rfam family "Bacterial small subunit ribosomal RNA", at positions 509 to 807 of the family's 1533-position model. The record is from RNAcentral.
CAGCCGCCGCGGGAAAACGAAGGGGGCUAGCGUUGUUCGGAUUUACUGGGCGUAAAGGGCGCGUAGGCGGACUGAUAAGUCAGGGGUGAAAUCCCAAGGCUCAACCUUGGAACUGCCUUUGAUACUGUUUGUCUUGAGUUCGAGAGAGGUAAGUGGAACUGCGAGUGUAGAGGUGAAAUUCGUAGAUAUUUGCAAGAACACCAGUGGCGAAGGCGGCUUACUGGCUCGAAACUGACGCUGAGGCGCGAAAGCGUGGGGAGCAAACAGGAUUAGAUACCCCAGUAGUCCCUGUCUCUUAUAC